RNAcentral lists this ribosomal RNA (440 nucleotides) under uncultured bacterium. Its description in RNAcentral is "partial 16S ribosomal RNA". It matches the Rfam family "Bacterial small subunit ribosomal RNA", at positions 338 to 795 of the family's 1533-position model. The record is from RNAcentral.
CCUACGGGAGGCAGCAGUGGGGAAUAUUGCACAAUGGGCGAAAGCCUGAUGCAGCGACGCCGCGUGAAGGAUGAAGUACUUCGGUUUGUAAACUUCUAUCAGCAGGGAAGAAAAUUAAGGUACCUGACUAAUAAGCCAUGGACAACACCGUGACAGCAGGCGCGGUCAUACGGCGGGGGCAAGCUUUCAACGGAUUUACUGGGGUUAAAGGGAGCGUAGGCGGUUUAGCAAGUCAGAAGUGAAAGCCCUGGGCUCAACGCCGGGACUGCUUUUGAUACUGUCGAACUUGAGUGCAGUAGAGGUAAGUGGAAUUCCUAGUGUAGCGGUGAAAUGCGUAGAUAUCAGGAGGAACACCAGUGGCGAAGGCGGCUUACUGGACUGUAACUGACGCUGAGGCUCGAAAGCGUGGGGAGCAAACAGGAUUAGAUACCCCUGUAGUC